This 440-nucleotide ribosomal RNA is filed under the name uncultured bacterium. RNAcentral describes it as "partial 16S ribosomal RNA". It matches the Rfam family "Bacterial small subunit ribosomal RNA", at positions 338 to 795 of the family's 1533-position model. The record is from RNAcentral.
CCUACGGGAGGCAGCAGUGGGGAAUAUUGCACAAUGGGGGAAACCCUGAUGCAGCGACGCCGCGUGAGUGAAGAAGUAAUUCGUUACGUAAAGCUCUAUCAGCAGGGAAGAAAAUGACGGUACCUGAGUAAGAAGCUCCGGCUAACUACGUGUCAGCAGCCGCGGUAAUACGUAGGGGGCAAGCGUUAUCCGGAUUUACUGGGGGUAAAGGUAGCGUAGACGGUGCGCCAAGUCUGGAGUGAAAUGCCGCAGCUUAACUGAGGAGCGGCUUUGGAAACUGGCGAACGAGAGUGCGGGAGGGGUAAGCGGAAUUCCAAGUGUAGCGGUGAAAUGCGUAGAGAUAAGGAGGAACACCGGUGGCGAAGGCGGCUUACUGGACCGUAACUGACGCUGAGGCGCGAAAGCGUGGGGAGCAAACAGGAUUAGAUACCCCUGUAGUC